RNAcentral lists this ribosomal RNA (465 nucleotides) under uncultured bacterium. RNAcentral's name for it is "partial 16S ribosomal RNA". It matches the Rfam family "Bacterial small subunit ribosomal RNA", at positions 338 to 795 of the family's 1533-position model. The record is from RNAcentral.
CCUACGGGAGGCAGCAGUAGGGAAUCUUCCACAAUGGGCGCAAGCCUGAUGGAGCAACGCCGCGUGGGUGAAGAAGGUCUUCGGAUCGUAAAACCCUGUUGUUAGAGAAGAAAGUGCGUGAGAGUAACUGUUCACGGUUCGACGGUAUCUAACCAGAAAGCCACGGCUAACUACGUGCCAACAGCCGCGGUAAUACGUAGGUGGCAAGCGUUAUCCGGAAUUAUUGGGCGUAAAGGGAACGCAGGCGGGCUUUUAAGUCUGAUGUGAAAGCCUUCGGCUUAACCGGUGUAGGGCAUUGGAAACUGGGGGACUUGAGUGCAGAAGAGGAGAGUGGAACUCCAUGUGUAGCGGUGAAAUGCGUAGAUAUAUGGAAGAACACCAGUGGCGAAGGCGGCCGUCUGGUCUGUAACUGACGCUGAGGUUCGAAAGCGUGGGUAGCAAAUAGGAUUAGAUACCCCUGUAGUC